GUGCUCGCUUUGGCAGCACAUAUACUAAAAUUGGAACGAUACAGAGAAGAUUAGCAUGUCCCCUGCGCAAGGAUGACACGCAAAUUCGUGAAACGUUCUAUAUUUAA
This 107-nucleotide small nuclear RNA is filed under the name Rhinopithecus roxellana (golden snub-nosed monkey). The record is from RNAcentral. Lineage: Eukaryota; Metazoa; Chordata; Mammalia; Primates; Cercopithecidae.